RNAcentral lists this ribosomal RNA (440 nucleotides) under uncultured bacterium. Its description in RNAcentral is "partial 16S ribosomal RNA". It matches the Rfam family "Bacterial small subunit ribosomal RNA", at positions 338 to 795 of the family's 1533-position model. The record is from RNAcentral.
CCUACGGGAGGCAGCAGUGGGGAAUAUUGCACAAUGGGGGGAACCCUGAUGCAGCGACGCCGCGUGGGUGAAGAAGCAUUUCGUUGUGUAAAGCUCUAUCAGCAGGGAAGAAAAUGACGGUACCUGAGUAAGAAGCCCCGGCUAACUACGUGCCAGCAGCCGCGGUAAUACGUAGGGGGCAAGCGUUAUCCGGAUUUACUGGGUGUAAAGGGGGCGUAGACGGCAGUGCAAGUCUGGAGUGAAAGGCGGGGGCUCAACCCCGGGACUGCUCUUGAAACUGUACGGCUGGAGUGCAGGAGGGGCAGGGGGAAUUCCUAGUGUAGCGGUGAAAUGCGUAGAUAUUAGGAGGAACACCAGUGGCGAAGGCGGCCUACUGGACUGUGACUGACGUUGAGGCUCGAAGGCGUGGGGAGCAAACAGGAUUAGAUACCCGAGUAGUC